This is an RNA transcript of Nelumbo nucifera (sacred lotus), 4008 nucleotides long. RefSeq lists it as uncharacterized. Lineage: Eukaryota; Viridiplantae; Streptophyta; Magnoliopsida; Proteales; Nelumbonaceae. The record is from RefSeq and is a predicted model, not a curated record.
UUGCUCAUUAGUCAUCGGUGGGAUGCCUAUUUGCCGGGAGUAAAUAAGAAGUCUGUAACUGUAACUAACAUUCCCGGGAAAAUUACCAAUGUGCGCGACUGCGCCACAGCGUUGGGCAGAUCGCCAGUGAAUUCUGUGACUGUCUCCAUUUACCGCAGAUACUUGUGUUAGUAGUGACAGCACCUAUGCUUCGGAAUCGAAUUCUCAAACCCUAACACAGGGACAAUGUCAAUCGCCGCUCAAAAUCUCUCAACGAAUUCGAGCCAUCAUAUCUGCUUCUUCUGUUCGACCAACGUGAUUCAUGGCGUUAAUACUCUGAAACACCUUUACGCCUUAACACUCCCAAUCUACUCCAGGCGUGAUGGGAGGUCGAACUCCCUGCAUUUCGAAGUUCUUGGGCAGAGAGACUCUUGGCAGCGUAAACAACUCCAGCCCUUCGAGGCUGGUAGACAAUGGCGUUCCAGAGCCUUUGAACCCGAGGGGACCUUGCAAGGAGAGAGGCUCGAUGGUAAGCUUAAUUUGGACGCUUUCCUUUCGAUUGCCGAGGUGUUGUGUCUUGUACCAUCGACUAUUUUAACGGUCGGGUAUGCUGUGAAUUGGAUCUAUUUAAGUUCCUCGCAGAAGGCGAUUCAAGUGCCCUUGGUGAACGGGGUUUUUGUCUGGCAAUAUGUUUUGCUGGUGAUUGCUGUUGCAGUCGGGACUUUGAUUAGAAGAAGGCAGUGGAGGAGGAUCUGUAGGGAAUCGUUCAAGUCAGGUGGUAGGUCGAGUUUAAAUCUUGUUGAGAGAAUUGAGAAACUCGAGGAGGAUCUUCGGAACUCCGCUACUAUUGUAAGGGUGCUGUCGAGGCAGCUUGAAAAGUUAGGGAUUAGAUUUAGGAUUACAAGGAAGGCAUUGAAAGAACCUACUACCCAGACUACAGCUUUGGUUCAGAAGAAUUCUGAGGUGACUCGAGCUUUGGCAGCACGAGAAGAUAAUCUUGAAAAGGAGCUUGGUGAAAUUCAAAAGGUUUUGUUGGCAAUGCAGGUUCAAAUGAAUUGUCAUCCCAUCCAAAGCAGAAAGUUCCACCUCAGACAACUGCUCCAUCAAGCAUUGGUAGGAAGGUGGCGGAGAAUUUGGGAAUUGUUAACAUAGCUGGUGCAUUGGGAAUUGAAAGAAGAGAUGAAGAAGAUGAAAAACAGAGAACUUUUGAGAAAGAGAAGAUCAAAUCUGGAAAGAUUCAAGAGAAAAGUAGAAAAAAGGUCCCAAAUGAAGGGGAAUUCUGUUAGAGUGACCCAAUGAAGGUUUUUAGCUGGAAUGUCAGGGGUUUGGGAGGUCAGCUUAAAAGAAGCUUAGUGAAAGAAACAUUGAAGAGAGAAAACCCAGACAUAAUUAUUCUUCAGGGAUCAAAAAAGGAAGUUAUUGACAGAAAACUUGUGAAAGCCAUUUGGGGAAUAAGGGGUAGGAAAUGGACUGCUGUUCCAGUGGUGGGAUCCGCUGGUGGAAUCAUCCUAGCAUGGAAGGAAGAUGAAAUUUCAGGUUUGGAGAUUGACAAAGGUGAAUUCUUAGUCUCGGUUUUGUUCACAGAUAUUAAAGAUGGGUUCAGCUGGAUUCUUACCGGAGUGUAAGCCCCAACUCUCCUGAUAGAGAGAUUUUGGGACGAAUUGGAUUCCCUGCAUGUGGAGGAGGAUAUCCCGUGCCCCCGUGGUGUUUAGCUGGAGACUUCAACGUCACCAGAUUCAGCCUGGAACACUCCAAUGGUAGAGCCCCAACCAGAAGUAUAAGGAACUUUCUCUAAUUUUAUUUCUAGACACAACUUGUGUGACCUCUCCCUUACUAAUGGGAUCUUCACCUGGUCAAAUAUGCAAGAAAAUGUCAUAAGUUGCAGACUUGACAGAUUUCUGAUUUCUCAGGACUGGCUGGAGAGAUUCCCUAACCUUUGCCAAGAACUUCACCCAAAGAUUCUGGUUAUCUCACAAAGAUUUCAGCAAAAAGAUUGCAGCAUGGUGGGAAGAUUGCAAAGUAGAGGGUUGGGCUGGUUUCAGGCUAUUACAGAAAUUAAAAGCUCUGAAGAAAAACCUUAAAGCUUGGGGGAGUGAGGAAUUUAAAGCUGUUGAAGAAGAGAAGAAAGAAUUCUCACGGAGUUUAGAGAACAAAAUGGGACCCUUGAUGCUUUAAACAGAAGUAGAAGAGCAGAUUUGAGAAAGGAAUGGGAACUAGUCAAAAGAGAAGAAAUUUACUGGAGACAAAGAUCAAGAGUGAGAUGGCUGAAAGAAGGAGACAAUAAUUCCGGAUUCUUUCACACUUAUGCCUUGGGAAGGAGUAGGAAGAAUUUCAUCUCUAAGCUGAAACUGAACCAGAGGGAAGUGGAGAAUCCUGAGGAAAUUAACGAAGCCUUCCUUUCCUUCUUUAAAAACCUUUUCUCCAAGGAUAGUAAUAACCAAUUUACAUUGAACAGAUGGGAAUGCCUAACUCUAUCAGCUGAAAAGAGGGUUUGGUUGGAAAGAAGCUUUGAAGAGGAAGAAAAAAUGGCUGUCUUCAGCAUGGAUGGAGAUAGGGCUCUAGGGCCGGAUGGUUUCCCCAUUUUUUUUUCCAGCAGUGUUGGGAAAUAGUAAAGUCAGAUCUCAUGGAUUUUUUUCAGGGACUUCCACUCUUCUGCCAUUGUUAACAAAGGCCUAAAUUCAACCUUUGCCUCAUCGCAAGGAAAGGGGGAGUCUUGGAAGUUAAAGACUUUAGACCAAUAAGUUUGAUAGGGAGCAUCUAUAAAAUUUUAGCUAAGGUUUUGGCCAAAAGACUUAAAGAAGUCCUAGAAGAUCUAAUUUCCCCAAACCAAUUUGCUUUUGUAAAAGGGAGACAAAUUGUGGACAGCAUUCUAAUUGCAAAUGGGUGUGUGGAAGACAGAAAAUCUUCUGGGAACCCAGGGGUUCUCGUGAAACUAGAUCUGGAAAAGACGUAUGAUAAAGUGGAUUGGGAUUGUAUUUUAGAUUGCUUAAAGAUGCUUUGGUAGAAAAUGGAUCAGGUGGAUUAAAGGUUGUAUUGGUUCUUCUUGGUUUUCAGUGUUGAUAAAUGGUGAAGCGAAAUGCUACUUCAAGGCUAGUAGGGGUCUCAGACAAGGUUGCCCACUUUCCCCCUUUCUAUUCACUUUGGUGAUAGACAUCUUUAACUAUCUCUUUGAUAAGGCUAUUCUCCUUAACUUGGUGAAAGGAUUUGAAGUGGGAAGGUACAAGAUUCACAUUUCACAUUUACAGUUUGCUGAUGACAUAAUUUUGUUCUUGGAUGCCUCCAUAACCAACAUCACAAACACUAAAAGGAUAAUUGAAGGUUUCGAACUUAUCACUGGUUUGAGGGUUAACUUUUGCAAAAGUAGUAUAGUAGCUCUUUAACUCAGUGGAAGUGGAACUUCUAGAAAGAUUGAAAUCUUUGUUGGGGUGCAAAGAGGAGAAUCUCCCUAUUUCAUAUCUUGGGAUGCCUCUUAGAGGGAAUCCAAAAUCUCUCAACUUUUGGAGACCAAUGGUGGAGAAAUGUGAGAAGAAACUAUCAUCUUGGAAGAGGUGUUAUCUCUCAGAAGGGGGGAAGGCUUACUCUCUUGAAGGUCUCCUUAGCAAAUUUGCCAGUUUACUUCCUUUUAGUCUUCCAGAUUCCAACCAAAGUCAGAAAUCAGAUUGAGAAGCUUCAAAGGAACUUUCUUUGGGAAGGGGGUGGGGAAAAGAGAAGCCAUUUAGUCAAUUGGAAACAAGUAUGCAAGCCUAAAGAGGAAGGUGGUUUGGGAAUUGGGCACUUAAAAGAGAAAAAAUCUUCUCUCUUAGGCAAAUGGCUAUGGAGGUUCCCUAAAGAAUCCAAUGCUCUUUGGACAGCUGUCAUCUCAAGCAAAUAUGGAACAAAUGUAAAUGGGUGGGAUAGCAAUCUCCAUUUGAACAUGAUAAAGUCCAAAAAUCCUUGGAAAGGAACAACAACAAAAGCAGCUUGAGCUGAUUCUUGCAAUUUGCAAGGUUGGGAAGCUGAGGGAAAGCAAGCGGAACACUGUCAUUGAAG